AGUUCUCUUUCCCAGAUUUGACUGUUCACAUUCUACAGACAUACAAUUUUUUCUAAUAGACAACCAACGCAUACUAAACAAUUUUUUUCGUUCACAAAUUCUCCCACCAUGUUUUACUUUCGAUCUAAUUCAAUAUUUUGAUAUGGAAGGCGGUGAACACGGAGAUGAUCAUUCCAGAUCCGGCGGAGAUCCUCUCGGCCCGAUAUCCAAACAAAAUUUGUUCUCAGAACUUCUCAAUGUAAGUUUCAAUGGACCAGAUCUACUACACCUAACAUGUCCAUCAACAAAGUUGUCCAUAUAGUUUACUACUUAUCUUUUUGUGUUUAUCCUUCACCAGUUUAAGAAAGCUUAUGCAAUCCUUGCCAGAGUACCACAACGUUGCCUCCAAAUACCAAAAUUGUCCAUUACUUCUCAAUGUAAGUUUUGACAGACGAGAUCUACUGCACCUAAUAUGGCCAUCAACACAAUUGUCCAUAUCUUCUUCUAACUCAUCUUUUUGUGUUUUUCCUUCACCGGUUUAAGAAAGCCUAGACAAACGUUGUCGGAGUACAAAUCUUACUGACCACAUGUCAGAGGACACGCAUAGGAGUUGUCUCUUGGAAUCUGUCAAAGUGAGUUUUCGAUGGACCAGAUCUACUUUAUAUAUUUUGUCCAUCAUAUAUUACUUACUCAUCUAUUAUUUUUUACAUCAUUUUAUAGAUUGUCUAUCGACUAUACACACAUCGAUAGGCAAGUGGACAUCACUACACAUUCUUGAUUAUCUUGUCUUGUCCACCGUAAUUAAGCUGCUAAAAUCGGAAAUCGCUGCUCCUUCUUCACCACCCACACCUUCCACAAAAUUUCUCCUAUACUUGUCCUCCAUUAAUACUAUUUCAGAUCUGAUUUUGCAAUUUUUUAUUUUUUGUUUUGCUUCUAAACACUCACUAAAGCAUUUGUCCUCUGGAUAUUAGCAUAUAUUGUAGCAUUUAAUGCCACUGUUACUAGCCCCAAAAACAUCCCAUCACGUUCCAACUUUCGAACACAAUUGGCAACUGAGUUGUGAGUUGGUGAGGGCAUAGUUGUCUUUUCGUGCUAUAUUAAAAAUCCUAUUAUGGCAUUCAAUAAAAUACUUAUAAAAAAGUGGCAGAUUGACAAGUUUGAGUUUAGGAAAGGGUAUAGAAUAUAAUAUUCCCAAAAGUUUAUCGUCAAAGUUUAUUUAAUUAAUAUAUUUUUGUUUCUUAUAACUUUUUGUUACAGAAAAUGGUACAUUCAAUUGCAU
RNAcentral lists this long non-coding RNA (1258 nucleotides) under Capsella rubella. Its description in RNAcentral is "long non-coding RNA (CRUB_LNC005038)". The record is from RNAcentral. Lineage: Eukaryota; Viridiplantae; Streptophyta; Magnoliopsida; Brassicales; Brassicaceae.